This 107-nucleotide transfer RNA is filed under the name Nanobdellota archaeon. RNAcentral's name for it is "tRNA-Pro". Lineage: Archaea; Nanobdellati; Nanobdellota. The record is from RNAcentral.
GAGGCCGUGGUGCAACUUGGAGUCUUAGGAAGAAUAUAUCUUAAGGCGAGGAAUUAACAUCACAGGUUUGGGACCUGUAGAUCGGGGUUCAAAUCCUCGCGGCCUCA